Molecule: ribosomal RNA, 253 nt
Filed under: uncultured bacterium
Lineage: Bacteria
Description: partial 16S ribosomal RNA
Rfam family: Bacterial small subunit ribosomal RNA
Source: RNAcentral
UACGUAGGGCGCAAGCGUUGUCCGGAAUUAUUGGGCGUAAAGAGCUCGUAGGCGGUCUGUCGCGUCGGAUGUGAAAAUCCAGGGCUCAACCCUGGACCUGCAUUCGAUACGGGCAGACUAGAGUUCGGUAGGGGAGACUGGAAUUCCUGGUGUAGCGGUGAAAUGCGCAGAUAUCAGGAGGAACACCGGUGGCGAAGGCGGGUCUCUGGGCCGAAACUGACGCUGAGGAGCGGAAGCGUGGGGAGCAAACAGG